GGAAACCCUAACGGAGUGUCUCGAGCUGCAGGGGUUGAGAGGAGCAGGUCACCCGCUGCGCGGAGCUGGGCGACUUUUCCUGCCUGCCCAGAGGCCGUAGGAACCUGAGCUGCUUUGGGAACCCUCACUGCCCGAUCCUCCUCCACCGGCUCACCGUCCAUUUCCCCGGUCGCUGGUCUUCUUGCCCAACACCAGCCUUCGAUUUGGUUUCUACUCCACCCUGACUGGACAUCUUACUCUCUGCAUUUCGCAGCACUCAUCUUCACUUCCACUCAUCACUGAAGAAGUUUCUGCCAGCACGGAGUCCUAAGACCUCCCUUACAACCGCCAUGCCUCAUGCCUCAAGAUUGUUAGCCCUGGUCUCAACACUUACUCUCUCACCAGACCUAUCUUCCCAAUGCCAGCCCUUUCUUCUCUUUCAGACUGUCCAAAAGAUUGCACCAUCAAGGA
Molecule: long non-coding RNA, 450 nt
Organism: Manis javanica (Malayan pangolin)
Lineage: Eukaryota; Metazoa; Chordata; Mammalia; Pholidota; Manidae
Source: RefSeq, a predicted model, not a curated record